This 1402-nucleotide long non-coding RNA is filed under the name Mus spicilegus (steppe mouse). Its description in RNAcentral is "lncRNA (ENSMSIG00000000266.1)". Lineage: Eukaryota; Metazoa; Chordata; Mammalia; Rodentia; Muridae. The record is from RNAcentral.
CGAGUUUCAAUAAUAGGUGGGGUGCAGGUUUGGGGAAGGGACAUAAAGCUCGAGGGUGGGGUGGGGGUCUGAGUAAGGUGAAGCGUGAGGAAUGAGGGGCCUGAGACAAGGGCUGACAGGUGGGACGCAGGCCUUAGGGCGUGGCAAAUGGCUAGGGGCGGGGCCAAGAGUGGGGCUGUCCUGUGCCUGAGUCUGGAACUUGGCCAGAGUGGCCAAGCUUCUGCAAGCCUGCACCUUCAGGGAGCCAAGGAAGAUGCUUUACGUGGAACACUGAAAGCUAAGUCUGCACUUUUAAGGAUGCCUGUGGCUGCUGUGAAGGCUGGGAUGGGCCAGCAGGGAUGGCCCGUAGGUCCUGUGAGCAGUAAUGAGUUCGCCUUUCCUGUUCCCUCCAUCUAAAUACAGCUCAAUACCCCACAAGCAACACCCAGUAGGAAGAGGACUUGAGAGUUGAAAAUAACUACACUGGCCUGGAACUCAAAACUUGGGCUAUGUUUCCUUUUUCUUUGAUUUCUGAGCCAGGGCCCCAGAGAGGCCAACACGAUGGCCAAGAGAUACAGGGCAGGUCUUCUGGGAAUCCCCUCUCUCUGGCCGGUGGCAGGAGAGACCUAGAACAAUGCCCGGCAGAGACUUUAACCAGUGUUCCAGUCCACAGUCUGUCCCCAGUGUCAGUGUCAGAGCACCUGUAGGCUCACCUGACCCUGCCUGCACAUGGGGGUGCCAGCGGGGACCACAUAGGUAGUGUUGUGAAGUUGCCUGUCAGCAAGAGACCCACAUCCUCAGUAGGAUGGACCCCAGAGAUGCCUUCAUAACCCUGUAGAUGACACCAGCAGGGACCGAGGAGCCCCACCAGUGCCAGAAAAUCAAACAGACCAGGAGAGCAAAGUGGGGAUGCCAGAGACAAAGCCAGCAUUGGAGCAAGAGGCCACAGCGGCAGGCCAGAUUGCACAUGUGACAUACAGCCACACACUGGCACUAGCAGCUAGCUGCCUGCUAACGUAGAAGAACCAGGAGUCUCCAAACAGAGUAACCCAAAUGUCCAGCGUACAUUUGAAAAAACCGCUUAUCAUUCCAAGAACAUUCGCAAUGUGAAUGCAAAAAGGCUGCUCACUGAAAUGGAUGCCAAAAUGAGCCAUCUGCCAAGGACUUGUCGACAACCAUGAAAAUCGCUUUCAGAAGCAAUUAGAAGAAAAAGUGAUUACAAACUCAUUUAAAAUUAAAAAAAAAAUUUAGCAAAGAACAAGAAAUUGUAAAGCGCCAAGUUGAAAUUAUAGAAUCUGAGAAAACAAGCAGAACAACACUGCCCAUCAUUGGAAGGGCACAGUGGUAGACGAGACGACGGAGUGCUAGAACUUUCUUGGAACUGAAGAAUAAAGAAAAUAGUACAAAGUGUGAGCCUAAGCCA